Dreissena polymorpha is the source of this 1291-nucleotide long non-coding RNA. RefSeq lists it as uncharacterized. The transcript is spliced from 4 exons. Lineage: Eukaryota; Metazoa; Mollusca; Bivalvia; Myida; Dreissenidae. The record is from RefSeq and is a predicted model, not a curated record.
CUUCGAAAUCUACAAUGAGCGUACCAGCCAAAACAGAGGGAGAGAUGAGAAGAAGUAAAUGCGUGAGACAGCCAUCUAAGAGAAUGUUGUUGUAUUCUCAGGACACAGAUUCAGAUUCAAGUCUACAGAAGAGUUAAGGAAAACGUCCUGCCAGAAAGAUCCAGAAAGUUGAUACAUUAGCAACAAUAACUAAGUGGUGCUCUUGUCACAGAUGCCCACAAUACGAGAGAGUGGAAGAUCGAGUUUGCUGUGGGAUGGUCCCAGAAUUAUGCUCAAGUCACAGACCUGAGAUGACUCUUUCGGUGCUGGAUAGGAUGACCCUCUACAGUCAGCAGCAGUAUCAACAAGAUGUGUUUUCCUUUUAUGCAGAGACACUAGAAGAUGUCAAUAAAUCUUUCAGACAUGCUGCAUACAGACAAUUUACCAUCUUAAUGCAUGAGAAUAACUGUCCCAGCAUGUUGUGUUAAAUUAAUAAGGGAGAAGUUUCCUAGUCCUUAAGGCCAGUAUACAGGCUUCGUACCAGGUGAAGGCCCAGUGUUCUAAUAAUUUUGCAUAUUUAUUCCCCCCUUCGAAGAAGAGGGGGUAUAUAGUUUUGCACAUGUCGGUCCGUCCACCAGAUGGUUUCGGGAUGAUAACUUAAGAACGCUUAGGCCUAGGAUCAUGAAACUUCAUAGGUACAUUGAUCAUGACUGGCAAAUAACCCCUAUUGAUUUUCAGGUCACUAGGUCAAAGGUCAGUGACUCGAAACAGUAAAGCGGUUUCCGGAUGAUAACUCAAGAAUGCAUACGCCUAGGAUCUUGAAACUUCAUAGGUACAUUGAUCACGACUGGCAGAGGACCCCUUUAGAUUUUCCGGUCACAAGGUCAAGGUCACAGUGACUCAAAACAAUAAAAUGGGUUCCAGCUGAUAACUCAAGAAUGCAUACGCCUUUUGAUCAUGAAACUUCAUAGCUACAUUGAUAAUGACUGGCAGAUGACCCCUUUUGAUUUUCAGGUCACUAGGUCAAGGUCACAGUGACUCGAAAUAGUAAAAUGGUUUCCUGAUGAUAACUCAAGAAUAAUUAGGCCUAGGAUCAGGAAACUUCAUAGGUACAUUGAUCAUGACUGACAGAUGACCCCUAUUAAUUUUCAGGUCACUAUGUCAAAGGUCAAGGUCACAGUGACAAAAAACGUAUUCACACAAUAGCUGCCACUACAACUGACAGCCCAUAUGGGGGGCAUGCAUGUUUUACAAACAGCCCUUGUUGCUAUUCUUUUUCAUUUAUCAGACAUAGAACUUUUCUAAGUUUUGA